AGAACAACUGAGAGUGGCCUCUCGCGCUUUCCCCCAGUUCUCCCUUAAAAAUACUUGGGGGAAGAAAGUGCUUGACUACUCACAGUCCUGUGAUGACCUGUGGCGGAAGGUAAACCGAAGGUGACUGCGGUUAACGUCCUCGAUGGGAAUGGCCACCUUCAAGAAUUGAAAAAGAAGUUUAAGCACUGUUAUCAAUAUCAUCCAGCGUAACAGCUUUAUUCAACUGGAGCUAUCAGCUCAGCGCCCUGCCCUGCGUGGAAGGAACUGAGACAGUCACAGGCCUGUUCUCCAGCAGCCUGCCUUCUGAGCAGCACUGGGAGAGAAAUAUGCAACUGCGAAGUUCUCACGGGAGAAGUCCUGAGCACACUGCAAGGCAUCCUGGGACCACAGUCUCAAGGGUCACAGAGGAAGGGACUUCGGGGCUGAGACCUGCAGGAAGUGAGGGAACUGCAGGCCUGUCCUCACCCAGGGGAGGUGGAGCCCCCAGACGCUGUGAUAUGAAAUUCCAGAUCAUGGGAGGGAGAGUUUGAAGAAGGAAGAACCACCAAUAGAAAGCGGUCCCCAAAGAGGUAUCGGGGAUGGCACCCAGACAGGAGCACAUGUACCACUGCCCAGAAUGUGCAUUUCACUAGACAAGUGACCACAAAAGGCGGAGCACAGAGGACUUUUAGGAUGGUGAAGCUACCCAGUGAGAGACUACAAUGAGAUAAUUGGUCUUUCACAUUCCUCGUGCUGUCACCAAAAAUAACAGAGCAACAGCAGGGUGGAGGAAGAGCACCAGCACGGUGGAGGAAGAGCACCAACAUGGCAGAUAAAGAGCACCAACAUGGCGGAGGAAGAGCACCAACAUGGCGGAGAAAGAGCACCAACAUGGCAGAGGAAAAGCACCAACAUGGCGGAGGAAGAACACCAACAUGGCGGAGGAAGAACACCAACAUGGCGGAGAAACAGCACCAACAUGGCGGAUGAAGAGCACCAACAUGAAGCUAACCGCGUUCUCUUCACAGUUUGCCUUUCUUCCUCUUCUUCGUUGCUUUGACCGUCCUGCACAUAUCCAUUCUUAUGUCCAUCACCAAGACCUGAAAACCUCCACUGACUGGCUUCCCUACAGACUGAGAAUAUGGCAGAAAAGCUUAUAAAUCACAGCUGUGCAUUGUCCAAUCAACAUUCAACAGUGAUUCUUUUGAAAGUGACUGUGAAGAUCUGAAACUCUCAAGGAAACACAGAGAAAUAGAUUACCAGCCACUCCAAAAGGUCGCCGCAACCCCGAGGAAACCACUGUAUAAUCAAAAACAACAAGCCUGCCCAACAAGCAGCUGCAGGACUUUAGGAAGUUUUCUAUGUUCUCAAGAAAUGAACGUACCGACUUCCUUCCAGAGCCCUGGCUUGGUGGUAAUAACAUUAGCAUAUGAGAAAUCAACACUCUGAAUAGAAAUACAAGCUUAACAAAAGGUAAUCUACUGCAAAUAUGAAUUUAUGUGCAAAGAAAUGCCCCGAGGGAAUACGAAAUGGAAGAUGUCAGAGCUUCAACCUCUCUGCAUUAAUAAGACUUCUUCUGUGAUCAGGAGAACUGGACAAUUGCACACGAAGCUAGAAUGUAAAAUAUUUCCCUAUUCCUGUCA
This 1622-nucleotide long non-coding RNA is filed under the name Homo sapiens (human). RNAcentral describes it as "PREDICTED lncRNA (TCONS_00034246)". Lineage: Eukaryota; Metazoa; Chordata; Mammalia; Primates; Hominidae. The record is from RNAcentral.